Molecule: ribosomal RNA, 225 nt
Filed under: uncultured bacterium
Lineage: Bacteria
Description: partial 16S ribosomal RNA
Rfam family: Bacterial small subunit ribosomal RNA
Source: RNAcentral
GUAGAUAACCUGCCCCUUAGUUUGGGAUAACCUCGGGAAACUGGGACUAAUACCGGAUAUUAUCUUUGCACGGCAUCGUGCGGAGAUGAAAGAUCUUGAAUCGCUGAGGGAGGGGUCUGCGUACUAUUAGGUAGUUGGUGCGGUAACGGCCCACCAAGCCAUUGAUAGUUAGCUGGUCUGAGAGGAUGAUCAGCCACACUGGGACUGAGAUACGGCCCAGACUCC